ACCUGACCUCGGAUCAGACGUGAUUACCCGCUGAACUUAAGCAUAUCACUAAGCGGAGGAAGAGAAACUAACCAGGAUUCCCUUAGUAACGGCGAGUGAAGAGGGAAAAGCCCAGCACCGAAGCCUGUGGUCAUUUGACCCCUAGGCAAUGUGGUGUUUAGGUCAGCCCGCGGAGAUACUGCUCCACCCUAAGUCCUAUAAUGAGUAAGGUUACUCGGACGUGGCCCAAUGAGGGUGAAAGGCCCGUGGGGGUGGAGACUCAGAUUGGCCAG
RNAcentral lists this ribosomal RNA (272 nucleotides) under Philophthalmus gralli. RNAcentral's name for it is "partial 28S ribosomal RNA". It matches the Rfam family "Eukaryotic large subunit ribosomal RNA", at positions 1 to 248 of the family's 3401-position model. The record is from RNAcentral. Lineage: Eukaryota; Metazoa; Platyhelminthes; Trematoda; Plagiorchiida; Philophthalmidae.